This 250-nucleotide ribosomal RNA is filed under the name uncultured bacterium. RNAcentral describes it as "partial 16S ribosomal RNA". It matches the Rfam family "Bacterial small subunit ribosomal RNA", at positions 524 to 773 of the family's 1533-position model. The record is from RNAcentral.
UACGUAGGGUGCAAGCGUUAUCCGGAUUUACUGGGUGUAAAGGGCGAGUAGACGGCAAUACAAGUCAGCUGUGAAAACUUAGGGCUCAACCUUAAGACUGCAGCUGAAACUGUAUAGCUAGAGUGCAGGAGAGGAAAGUGGAAUUCCUAGUGUAGCGGUGAAAUGCGUAGAUAUUAGGAGGAACACCAGUGGCGAAGGCGACUUUCUGGACUGUAACUGACGUUGAGGCGCGAAAGUGUGGGGAGCAAAC